AGGCCCCUUAUUCUGUUGGGACCAAAACUCCCAAAAUCAAUACCAACCUUCCUUUUAUGGUCAUAAACCUUGUGUUUAAAUUUCAUAGAUUUCUAUUUACUUAUACUAAACGUUAUGGUGCGAAAAAACCAAGAAAAAUGCUUAUUUGGGUCCCUUUUUGGCCCCUAAUUCCUAAACUGUUGGGACCUAAACUCCAAAAAUCAAUACCAACCUUCCUUUUGUAGUCAUUAACAUUGUGUUUAAAUUUCAUUGAUUUCUAUUUACUUAAACUAAAGUUAUUGUGCGAAAACCAAGAAUAAUGCUUAUUUGGGCCCUUUUUUGGCCCUUAAUUCC
This 333-nucleotide long non-coding RNA is filed under the name Mytilus galloprovincialis (Mediterranean mussel). The record is from RNAcentral. Lineage: Eukaryota; Metazoa; Mollusca; Bivalvia; Mytilida; Mytilidae.